CAGACACACAGCAGGCACCUGGGCUUGGUGCACUGUCUCUCUAGUGAAACUUUCUGUCCGUCCUUUCCUGGGACUGUGGACGUUGUGUGUUGGUUGUGGUCUUAAUCCCUGCAUUUACAUUUAGUAUUCCUGUGCUGCUUAGAAAUGUGACCCCACAGUUCAGCCGAGAUCCUAUGAUCCAUGACCGUGAGCACUCGAGAUGAGAUGUCCCAGGAUUGUGACCCGUUUUGCUGACUGAAAGUAGUGUUGGGCUCUCAUUAAAUCUCCUUGUUUUUGCUUUCUUAACAGAGAUUGGUGCUGAGCCAAAUGCCAAAAUCUAUGUCAAAGUGGUCCAGCAGGUCCAUACUGAGAGAGCUUCUCAACAGGCAGCAGCUCAAGCUCCUCUGCAGGCUGGAGGUCUCCCUAGAAGAGCAGGUCCCAGCACAGGGGGAAGACCUUCCCCUGCCGUGUGCCCCCGCUCUGUCUCCAACACCCUGGCUGGAUGUAAACGCAAGGCCUUGGAGGAAGGGAAACCAACAGCAGCUCAGCAGCCUUCCAAUAAGAGAGUGAGGGGGCCGAGUGGAGACGGCGUGCCGGCUCCAGCAGCACACCCUGGGCCUGCUGCUGCUCGGAGCUCCAAGCAAAGAGGUGAGAAGGUGCUGUGGUACCCGCCGUGCUGAGGCGCUUCCCUGUGCGAGCACACUGAGUUUGCUUAGGGUUGGCUUUGCUUUUUCCUUCUCCAUGGAGGGGAAAAGAGUGGAAGGCUACAAAGUCCAAAGGCAGUGAGGUGCCCGAACGUGUAACCCUGUCUCUUCCCGUUAACUCUAUGGCAGUCUUCUGCACGCCUCCUGGAAAUGUCAUUCACUGGGAGGCUUCCUAGUCCCAUUUCCUCCGUCUUUUUGCUGCCUUCUGCUUGUACGGCACCCAUGUUUCUGCCAUUUCACUGUAGACAAAAUGCAUUCAUCUAUUUUUCUUGCCUUACAGAAAGAAGACGACAACGAAAAGAGAGGAGAGUGGAGCUGAAGAAGGCUGCCCUCAGAGCUGCUGCUGCACGUGCAGAGGUGAGUCCUUGGUGAACGCAGACACGGCUCUUGUUGUUCUCAGGGCCUCUGUCUGUCACACAUGAAAGGAAGAGACUGUAAAAUCCCGAGGGAAGUGGUGUCCUGUUUCUACCCUCGCUCCGUUUCUUCCCAGGCCUCCGCAGUGGACAGCCUUGUGGAGAUGAUGCAGAAGCUGCAGCUGAGGGACUGAGAGGAGGAGCGUCAGCAGGCAGCAGCUUCUGCAGUGCGUGGCGUUACAGGGCAGCGCUGAGUGCCGCCCAUCUCAGCACUCCACCUUCAAACGUAGUCAAUAAAAACCAGUCAAAUUUAUAGAUUCACAGAGAGCGCACGGCCUGAUUUGUCCAGCGGCACUCGGAGAGCUGCUGCACCACCUCCUCGUUAUUGGUCUCGCGGCGCUCGCUCAGAACUGCCACAGCUCCGUCAGCGAAUGCUGCCGUCCAGUGUUGCAACAAAGGCAGCAGUCCUUUGCACUGCCCACAGACAGACUGUCUGC
This 1533-nucleotide long non-coding RNA is filed under the name Gallus gallus (chicken). Its description in RNAcentral is "lncRNA (ENSGALG00010029074.1)". Lineage: Eukaryota; Metazoa; Chordata; Aves; Galliformes; Phasianidae. The record is from RNAcentral.